This 468-nucleotide ribosomal RNA is filed under the name uncultured bacterium. Its description in RNAcentral is "partial 16S ribosomal RNA". It matches the Rfam family "Bacterial small subunit ribosomal RNA", at positions 28 to 507 of the family's 1533-position model. The record is from RNAcentral.
GACGAACGCUGGCGGCGUGCUUAACACAUGCAAGUCGAACGGAAAGGCCCUGCUUUUGUGGGGUGCUCGAGUGGCGAACGGGUGAGUAACACGUGAGUAACCUGCCCUUGACUUUGGGAUAACUUCAGGAAACUGGGGCUAAUCCCGGAUAGGAGCUCCUGCUGCAUGGUGGGGGUUGGAAAGUUUCGGCGGGUGGGGAUGGACUCGCGGCUUAUCAGCUUGUUGGUGGGGUAGUGGCUUACCAAGGCUUUGACGGGUAGCCGGCCUGAGAGGGUGACCGGCCACAUUGGGACUGAGAUACGGCCCAGACUCCUACGGGAGGCAGAAGUGGGGAAUAUUGCACAAUGGGCGGAAGCCUGAUGCAGCAACGCCGCGUGCGGGAUGACGGCCUUCGGGUUGUAAACCGCUUUCGCCUGUGACGAAGCGUGAGUGACGGUAAUGGGUAAAGAAGCACCGGCUAACUACGUG